Molecule: ribosomal RNA, 253 nt
Filed under: uncultured bacterium
Lineage: Bacteria
Description: partial 16S ribosomal RNA
Rfam family: Bacterial small subunit ribosomal RNA
Source: RNAcentral
UACGUAGGGGGCGAGCGUUGUCCGGAAUUAUUGGGCGUAAAGAGCUCGUAGGCGGUUUGUCGCGUCUGUCGUGAAAGUCCGGGGCUCAACUCCGGAUCUGCGGUGGGUACGGGCAGACUAGAGUGAUGUAGGGGAGACUGGAAUUCCUGGUGUAGCGGUGAAAUGCGCAGAUAUCAGGAGGAACACCGAUGGCGAAGGCAGGUCUCUGGGCAUUAACUGACGCUGAGGAGCGAAAGCAUGGGGAGCGAACAGG